Molecule: ribosomal RNA, 253 nt
Filed under: uncultured bacterium
Lineage: Bacteria
Description: partial 16S ribosomal RNA
Rfam family: Bacterial small subunit ribosomal RNA
Source: RNAcentral
UACGUAGGCAGCGAGCGUUGUUCGGAGUUACUGGGCGUAAAGAGUGUGUAGGCGGUUCUCUAAGUUCCGUGUGAAAUCUCCCGGCUCAACCGGGAGGGUGCGCGGAAAACUGGAGGGCUUGAGUAUGGGAGAGGAAAGCGGAAUUCCUGGUGUAGCGGUGAAAUGCGUAGAUAUCAGGAGGAACACCUGCGGUGAAGACAGCUUUCUGGACCAUCACUGACGCUGAGGUGCGAAAGCGUGGGGAGCAAACAGG